CCUACGAGUGACAGCAGUGGGGAAUAUUGCACAAUGGGGGAAACCCUGAUGCAGCGACGCCGCGUGAGUGAAGAAGUAAUUCGUUAUGUAAAGCUCUAUCAGCAGGGAAGAAAAUGACGGUACCUGAGUAAGAAGCCCCGGCUAAAUAAGUGCCAGCAGCCGCGGGAAUACGUAGGGGGCAGGCGUUAUCCGGAUUUACUGGGAGAAAAGGGAGCGUAGACGGCAGUGCAAGUCUGGAGUGAAAGGCGGGGGUUCAACCCCCGGACUGCUCUGGAAACUGUACGGCUGGAGUGCAGGAGAGGUAAGUGGAAUUCCGAGUGUAGCGGUGAAAUGCGUAGAUAUUAGGAGGAACACCAGUGGCGAAGGCGGAUUACUGGACUGUAACUGACGUUGAGGCUCGAAAGCGUGGGGAGCAAACAGGAUUAGAUACCCGAGUAGUC
Molecule: ribosomal RNA, 440 nt
Filed under: uncultured bacterium
Lineage: Bacteria
Description: partial 16S ribosomal RNA
Rfam family: Bacterial small subunit ribosomal RNA
Source: RNAcentral